RNAcentral lists this unclassified non-coding RNA (356 nucleotides) under soil metagenome. RNAcentral describes it as "partial contains 5.8S ribosomal RNA, internal transcribed spacer 2, and large subunit ribosomal RNA". The stretch from base 1 to 120 matches the Rfam family "5.8S ribosomal RNA", at positions 35 to 154 of the family's 154-position model. The record is from RNAcentral.
GAUGAAGAACGUAGCGAAAUGCGAUAAGUAGUGUGAAUUGCAGAAUUCAGUGAAUCAUCGAAUCUUUGAACGCACAUUGCGCCCGCCAGCACUCUGGCGGGCAUGCCUGUCCGAGCGUCAUUUCAACCCUCAGGACCCCUCUCUCGGGAGGGGCACUGGUGUUGGGGAUCGGCCCGCCCCCGCGCGGCUGCCGGCCCCGAAAUACAGUGGCGGUCUCGCUGUAGCCUCCCCUGCGUAGUAACAUACCUCGCACUGGAGAGCAGCGCGGCCACGCCGUGAAACCCCCAACUUCUGAAUGUUGACCUCGGAUCAGGUAGGAUUACCCGCUGAACUUAAGCAUAUCAAUAAGCGGAGGA